This 396-nucleotide ribosomal RNA is filed under the name uncultured bacterium. Its description in RNAcentral is "bacterial SSU rRNA". It matches the Rfam family "Bacterial small subunit ribosomal RNA", at positions 29 to 405 of the family's 1533-position model. The record is from RNAcentral.
AACGAACGCUGGCGGCGUGCUUAACACAUGCAAGUCGAGCGGGAAAGUUUCCUUCGGGAAGCGAGUACAGCGGCAGACGGGUGAGUACAACGUAGGUAACCUACCCUCGAGACCGGGAUAACCUGUCGAAAGACGGGCUAAUACCGGAUAAGACCACAAGGGCUGCGGCCUUUGAGGUAAAAGAUGGCCUCUGCUUGCAAGCUAUCACUUGGGGGAUGGGCCUGCGCGCCAUUAGCUUAGNGGUGAGGUAACGGCUCACCAAGGCAAAGAUGGCUAGCUGGUCUGAGAGGAUGGCCAGCCACACUGGGACUGAGACACGGCCCAGACUCCUACGGGAGGCAGCAGUGGGGAAUAUUGCGCAAUGGGCGAAAGCCUGACGCAGCGACGCCGCGUGGG